RNAcentral lists this long non-coding RNA (232 nucleotides) under Elaeis guineensis (African oil palm). Its description in RNAcentral is "long non-coding RNA (EGUI_LNC081524)". The record is from RNAcentral. Lineage: Eukaryota; Viridiplantae; Streptophyta; Magnoliopsida; Arecales; Arecaceae.
AAUAGCUCUUGCCCCUCUCGGUCUAAACUAUAUUUACUUGGUUUGUACCUAUUGUAGGGGGAGCUUGCCACCCAAUCCAUUCUUCCCUUUGUCAGUUUGUGACCGUACACUAGUCUUGGAUAUCUCACCGAUGACUCAAAAGAAAGAUAAAGGACUCCCUUGGACAUCGAAAAGAGAAGAUUAAGAAACCAAAUUGAAAUGACUAUAUGAUGUCAGCUUCUUUCUGACCCCU